RNAcentral lists this ribosomal RNA (395 nucleotides) under uncultured bacterium. RNAcentral describes it as "bacterial SSU rRNA". It matches the Rfam family "Bacterial small subunit ribosomal RNA", at positions 44 to 441 of the family's 1533-position model. The record is from RNAcentral.
AUGCUUUACACAUGCAAGUCGAACGGCAGCACGGGCUUCGGCCUGGUGGCGAGUGGCGAACGGGUGAGUAAUAUAUCGGAACGUACCCAAGAGUGGGGGAUAACGUAGCGAAAGUUACGCUAAUACCGCAUACGAUCUAAGGAUGAAAGUGGGGGAUCGCAAGACCUCAUGCUCCUGGAGCGGCCGAUAUCUGAUUAGCUAGUUGGUGAGGUAAAGGCUCACCAAGGCCACGAUCAGUAGCUGGUCUGAGAGGACGACCAGCCACACUGGAAGUGAGACACGGUCCAGACUCCUACGGGAGGCAGCAGUGGGGAAUUUUGGACAAUGGGGGCAAGCCUGAUCCAGCAAUGCCGCGUGAGUGAAGAAGGCCUUCGGGUUGUAAAGCUCUUUUGUCA